UAAUCAAGACAAUGCAACAGGUUGGCAAGGGGCCUGUCGUAUGUCACCAGUCUCCCCCAGAGGGACUGUCUGCAGAACAUGUUGAGCAGACUUCAGGAAAGGAUGAACAUGAAGAUCACAGCAAUCCUGGCCCAGCACUUUGUUUAGCAGGCUUCCUCCUUUGGAUGCCGUGAGGGAACCAAGGAAUGCACAGGGAGAACAUGCAAAGUCCAUGCAGAAAGACUUCAGGCCAGGAUUCAAACCCAGGACCUUCUCGCAGAAAGGCAGCAUGGCAACUGCACAUUUUCCACAUUGGUAGCCUUAUAGUUAGACAUAGCUGUUUAUUUAGGUUGAAAAUAUAAAUCAUCAUGCUCGUACCCCAUCCCUGUUGCGUCCAGUCAAUCCAGGGUUGGAUGGAUCCGUACAUGUUUAGCCCAAGACAGCCCGGGUGAGAAAAAUCAAUUGGAUUGUUUUCGACCCAGCAGUUUUUAGAGUGUUGCUGGAGAGCAGAGAGGCAUCAGCUUAUUGAAAGUAAAGUGAACCAUGAGACAGCUAAUUUCCACUGUUUGUGCUUCAGAACAUACAGACUAAGAAACAAUUUAUCUAAAUCAGUAGUGUGGGGUAAGAUUGCAGGACUUUCUUUUCCUUUCAAAUGCCAAUUGUUUGACUUUUGGCAUUUAAAGGUCAAAUAUUAAAAGUAUGAGAAUUAAAUUUGUCUUUAUAAUGAGGUU
Poecilia latipinna (sailfin molly) is the source of this 710-nucleotide long non-coding RNA. RefSeq lists it as uncharacterized. Lineage: Eukaryota; Metazoa; Chordata; Actinopteri; Cyprinodontiformes; Poeciliidae. The transcript has 2 exons. The record is from RefSeq and is a predicted model, not a curated record.